UACGUAGGGUGCGAGCGUUACUCGGAAUUACUGGGCGUAAAGCGUGCGCAGGCGGUUUUGCAAGACAGAUGUGAAAUCCCCGGGCUUAACCUGGGAACUGCAUUUGUGACUGCAAGGCUAGAGUGUGUCAGAGGGAGGUGGAAUUCCGCGUGUAGCAGUGAAAUGCGUAGAGAUGCGGAGGAACACCGAUGGCGAAGGCAGCCUCCUGGGAUAACACUGACGCUCAUGCACGAAAGCGUGGGGAGCAAACAGG
RNAcentral lists this ribosomal RNA (253 nucleotides) under uncultured bacterium. Its description in RNAcentral is "partial 16S ribosomal RNA". It matches the Rfam family "Bacterial small subunit ribosomal RNA", at positions 524 to 776 of the family's 1533-position model. The record is from RNAcentral.